Lepidothrix coronata (blue-crowned manakin) is the source of this 813-nucleotide long non-coding RNA. RefSeq lists it as uncharacterized. NCBI's taxonomy places the organism in Eukaryota, Metazoa, Chordata, Aves, Passeriformes, Pipridae. The record is from RefSeq and is a predicted model, not a curated record. The transcript is spliced from 5 exons.
CAGAGUGCCUGUUGGAAGUGCUGCUGCAGUGGAUUGUGGUGGAAGGGUCAAAAAAUGCUCGUCAGCUGCUGCUGGAAGGGAAUGGGCAACAACAGAAAGAUAAGCAGGCGGGGGAAUCUAGACAUUUCUGUGAAAUCUAUGGAAGAGUCAGGAAUGGAAGCCAAGCAAUGGAAGAUGAUGUGACCCGUAACACACUGAGACCCUGUGAUAGACAAUAUACGAACCCACACUGCUCCCUCUUGCCUAUAAACCAGUGCCUGCUAAGUGAAUCCCCUCUUGCCUGCCUUCCCUGAGUGCCUGUAGAGCUGUGUUCAAACUGCUGGAAGGAGCUGCGCUGCAAAAGGAACAGGGAAGGAUGAAACCAGUCAGUAGCAUUUUCAGGUAGCUGUUCAGUGAGGAUGGGAGGAAGAGUGGAUCUGCAAGGAUGUGAAUAGAAAUGACAGCAGAAACCUAUGAGACCAGUCUGCAAUUCAUGUUUGGAUACUCUUCUGAGUAAUGACUCUCUGUGUAGGAGGAAAGGAAGAUAGGGCACAACAGAGCUGAUAGAUCCCUAAAUUGACUAGUUGGUAUGACAGCUGCUCAUGAUGCCUGGCAGAUCUGUAUGUACCAGCAAUGGACUAGUCAUGGAGUAUAUACUUCACUAUAUAUUACAAUUUUGAAUACCUCUGUGAGACAUUAUUUUUGUUAUUUCUUUUAUGGACCUCUUGCAUCUCAAUGGCCUGGAAAAAUAAAAAGUCUUCUCCACUCGCAAUGGGAGGAAUGGGUGAAUGAUGAAGACACCAUGCAGUCCAGACCAUUUUUCCAAAGAAAAUG